RNAcentral lists this ribosomal RNA (396 nucleotides) under uncultured bacterium. Its description in RNAcentral is "bacterial SSU rRNA". It matches the Rfam family "Bacterial small subunit ribosomal RNA", at positions 358 to 771 of the family's 1533-position model. The record is from RNAcentral.
GGAAUAUUGGACAAUGGGCGCAAGCCUGAUCCAGCAAUGCCGCGUGGGUGAUGAAGGCCUUAGGGUUGUAAAGCUCUUUUACCAGGGAUGAUAAUGACAGUACCUGGAGAAUAAGCUCCGGCUAACUCCGUGCCAGCAGCCGCGGUAAUACGGAGGGAGCUAGCGUUGUUCGGAAUUACUGGGCGUAAAGCGCACGUAGGCGGCUUUUCAAGUCAGGGGUGAAAUCCCGGGGCUCAACCCCGGAACUGCCCUUGAAACUGGAGAGCUAGAAUCUUGGAGAGGCGAGUGGAAUUCCGAGUGUAGAGGUGAAAUUCGUAGAUAUUCGGAAGAACACCAGUGGCGAAGGCGGCUCACUGGACUGGUAUUGACGCUGAGGUGCGAAAGCGUGGGGAGCAA